Molecule: ribosomal RNA, 301 nt
Filed under: uncultured bacterium
Lineage: Bacteria
Description: partial 16S ribosomal RNA
Rfam family: Bacterial small subunit ribosomal RNA
Source: RNAcentral
CAGCAGCCGCGGGAAUACGAAGGGUGCAAGCGUUAAUCGGAAUUACUGGGCGUAAAGCGUGCGUAGGCGGUUUGUUAAGUCUGUUGUGAAAUCCCCGGGCUCAACCUGGGAAUGGCAAUGGAUACUGGCAAGCUAGAGUGUGUCAGAGGAUGGUGGAAUUCCCGGUGUAGCGGUGAAAUGCGUAGAGAUCGGGAGGAACAUCAGUGGCGAAGGCGGCCAUCUGGGACAACACUGACGCUGAGGCACGAAAGCGUGGGGAGCAAACAGGAUUAGAUACCCGAGUAGUCCCUGUCUCUUAUAA